This 61-nucleotide ribosomal RNA is filed under the name uncultured bacterium. Its description in RNAcentral is "partial 16S ribosomal RNA". The record is from RNAcentral.
GGAGGAACGGUCCCCCACACUGGUACUGAGACACGGACCAGACUCCUACGGGAGGCAGCAG